AUAUGUGCCCAUAGACUCGAGAGAACUGGGCAGCCCGUCCGCUCUGCCAUACAUAACCCUGAGCUCGGUGGACUAGUAGUUAGAUGGCUGACUACUAGCGAAUACCCAAUGUUGUAUGUU
This is a ribosomal RNA of Pseudogymnoascus pannorum, 120 nucleotides long. The record is from Rfam. NCBI's taxonomy places the organism in Eukaryota, Fungi, Ascomycota, Leotiomycetes, Thelebolales, Thelebolaceae.